Molecule: non-coding RNA, 45 nt
Filed under: Schistosoma margrebowiei
Lineage: Eukaryota; Metazoa; Platyhelminthes; Trematoda; Strigeidida; Schistosomatidae
Source: RNAcentral
AUCCAGCUGUUGAGUCUUGAAUAGGACGAAACAUGAGUCCUGGAU